This is a non-coding RNA of Lonchura striata (white-rumped munia), 444 nucleotides long. Lineage: Eukaryota; Metazoa; Chordata; Aves; Passeriformes; Estrildidae. The record is from the annotation of a RefSeq genome assembly.
AUGCUGCUGUUUCCAGUCCUUCUUGCAACUUCGUUUUGGUCCUGUGUGGACACGCAGUCAGUGCCAGUGCAAACCCCGGAGAUGCAGACGCAGAUGAAGGGCACUUCUGCCAGAAUGUCAUGUCAGCUGGAGGGCAACCACAUUGUACACUGGUACAGGCAGCUUCCCGGAGAGCCGCCAAAGAGGAUCCUGUACGUGUCUGCAGGGACACCUGUUUUUGAGGACAUCAAUGAUAGAAAUAGAUUUCAAGUUCAGAAUAAUCCUGCUCGAUCCAUGUAUAAUAUAGAGAUAAAUUCUUUAACCCCAAGCGAUUCUGGCAUUUAUUACUGUGCAUACUGGACAUACUGGACAUACCACAGAAUUAGUUUGGCAAAGUCCCCUGAGACCAGAUGGAAAGUUUGGAGCAAGAACGACAUAGCCUUUGGUGGAGGAGGAUCAGGCUAG